ACAAUAUUAUGAGCCUAAGAAAGCUGUUUUAGGGAUUUGGUAAAUUCUGGGAACGUCGCUUCAAAGUCUUAAUCGCAACAACAAUAACAACAAGGCCACUGACUCUCUGAAAAGUGUUGCCAAGAAAAACAGCGGUUUUUAUGGGACUCUCAGGACAAAAGCCCAAGCUGUUUUGUAACCGAAAUAAGACCCAAAGAAGAUGAAUUCAAUGCUUGCAUAACCGUCGCCUCUUUCUCUUUCUUUUUCUUUCGCCAUUAAUGGGGUAGCCUUUUACUGCUUCAACACUUUUCCCUUGAUCUUGUUUUUAUUACUAUAUAUUUUCUUUAACACUCCACUGGGAUUCUAUUCUUUACUCUCUCUGAUGGCUCAUGUUGAGACUAAUUUCGGGGCUGCUUCGAUUUCUCAUGAUGAAAGAGGAGGAGAUGAUCUGUAUAAGGAACUAUGGAAGGCAUGUGCAGGUCCAUUGGUGGAUGUUCCAGUGCCUGGAGAGAGAGUUUUCUAUUUUCCUCAGGGUCACAUGGAACAACUGGAAGCAUCAACAAAUCAGGAACUGACUCAACAAAUCCCACGGUUUAAUCUUCCUUCCAAGAUCCUUUGCCGAGUUGUUAACAUUCAACUACUGGCAGAACAAGAGACAGAUGAGGUUUAUGCUCAGAUCACUCUGCACCCAGAACCAAAUCAAGCAGAGCCUACAAGCCCAGACUCCUGCUCGCCUGAACCACAAACGCCAACUGUUCAUUCAUUUUGCAAAAUUUUAACGGCUUCUGAUACUAGCACCCAU
Molecule: unclassified non-coding RNA, 781 nt
Filed under: Hevea brasiliensis (rubber tree)
Lineage: Eukaryota; Viridiplantae; Streptophyta; Magnoliopsida; Malpighiales; Euphorbiaceae
Source: RNAcentral